GAGUAAAGAUUUCGGUCGCUUUGGGAGGAGCUCGCUUACUAUCAGCUUGUUGGUAGGGUAAUGGCCUACCAAGGCUAUGACGGUUAGGGGGUGUGAGAGCAUGACCCCCAGCAUUGGCACUGAAACACUGGCCAAACACCUACGGGUGGCUGCAGUCGAGAAUCUUCCACAAUGGGGGAAGCCCUGAUGGAGCGAUGCUGCGUGCGGGAUGAAGGCCUUCGGGUUGUAAACCGCUUUUGUAGGGGACGAAAUUUUUGACGGUACCCUUUCGAAUAAGAGGUUGCUAACUCUGUGCCAGCAGCAGCGGUAAUACAGAGACCUCAAGCGUUAUCCGGAUUUACUGGGCGUAAAGCGUCUGUAGGGGGUUUAUUAAGUUCCAAGUAACAUUUCAAGGCUCAACUUUGAAUUCGCUUGGAAAACUAAUAAACUGGAGUCUAGCAGAGGUGCAUGGAACUUGUGGUGUAGGAGUGAAAUCCGUUGAUAUCACAAGGAACACCAAAGGCGAAGGCAUUGCACUGGGCUAGCACUGACCCUGAGAGACGAAAGCGUGGGGAGCAAAACGGAUUAGAUACCCGUGUAGUCCACGCCCUAAACGAUGAAUGCUAAAUGUUCGGGGAUUCGACCCCCUGGGUGUUACAGCUAACGCGUUAAGCAUUCCGCCUGGGAAGUACGGCCGCAAGGCUAAAACUCAAAGGAAUAGACGGGGAUCCGCACAAGCGGUGGAGCGUCUGGUUUAAUUCGACAGUAAGCGUGGUACCUCACCAGGGUUUGACAUCCCUUGACAGCCUUGGAAACAAGGUUUCCUUCGGGCAAGGUGACAGGUGCUGCAUGGUCGUCGUCAGUUCGUGCCGUGAGGUGUUCCGUUAAGUCGGGAAACGAACGAAACCCCUAUUGCAUGUUACAAUUUCUCAUGCAAGACUGCCCGGAUAUACUGGGAGGAAGGUGGGGAUGACGUCAGAUCUGCAUGGUCCUUAUACCCUGGGCGACACAGGCGCUACAAUGGCAGAGACAAAGGGUUGCAAAACCGCAAGGUGAAGCUAAUCCCAAAAACUUUGUCUAAGUUCGGAUUGAAGGCUGCAAUUCGCCUUCAUGAAGCUGGAAUCGCUAGUAAUCGUGAAUCAGCCACGUCACGGUGAAUAUGUUCCCGGAUCUUGUACUCACCGCCCGUCACACCAAGAGAGU
Molecule: ribosomal RNA, 1182 nt
Filed under: uncultured organism
Description: bacterial SSU rRNA
Rfam family: Bacterial small subunit ribosomal RNA
Source: RNAcentral